GAAUAUGAACACUGAAGUGAUAGGUAAGUGUGAAUAGUGAGUGGAAUGAAGUGAACUCUACCGAAGAACCAAGGAGACCCCCAUAGGGACACUAGUGAGAUGUGAACUCACUCAGGCCAAAAGACAAACACAAAGGCUCUAAUCCUAAAAGAGAAAGAUGGGUGUCUCAAAAUGCCUCUGAAGCCACACUAAGGAUCCAAGCUCCCUCUAAAACGUCUCCAAAAGUGACCCGAAGAUCGAUGUCAAAGGUGAGUAACGGUCGAACCACC
Molecule: long non-coding RNA, 269 nt
Filed under: Vitis vinifera (wine grape)
Lineage: Eukaryota; Viridiplantae; Streptophyta; Magnoliopsida; Vitales; Vitaceae
Description: long non-coding RNA (VVIN_LNC001401)
Source: RNAcentral